GCGCUCGCUUUGGCAGCACAUAUACUAAAAUUGGAACAAUACAAAGAUUAGCAUGUCCCCCUGCACAAGGAUGACGCACAAAUUUGUGAAAUGUUCCAUAUUAAA
Molecule: small nuclear RNA, 105 nt
Organism: Myotis daubentonii (Daubenton's bat)
Lineage: Eukaryota; Metazoa; Chordata; Mammalia; Chiroptera; Vespertilionidae
Source: RefSeq, a predicted model, not a curated record